GACCCAGUGCUACCCUUACAAAUGUGCUGUACCAGGAUUGCUUCCUAGGGCACACGGCCAGCAGCUACUGUUACCUCUCCAAUUUGGAUAGAUGACUACUCAGAGUGGGAGCAGAACCAGGAGCACCCACUUGUUUCCAGUGCAGCAGACAAUUCAGUUGUGCCACUGGUGAAUGAGGAUGAAGAGGAAC
This is a long non-coding RNA of Pseudopipra pipra, 190 nucleotides long. RefSeq lists it as uncharacterized. NCBI's taxonomy places the organism in Eukaryota, Metazoa, Chordata, Aves, Passeriformes, Pipridae. The record is from RefSeq and is a predicted model, not a curated record. The transcript has 3 exons.